AGCGUAGACGGCUGUGUAAGUCUGAAGUGAAAGCCCGGGGCUCAACCCCGGGACUGCUUUGGAAACUAUGCAGCUAGAGUGUCGGAGAGGUAAGUGGAAUUCCCAGUGUAGCGGUGAAAUGCGUAGAUAUUGGGAGGAACACCAGUGGCGAAGGCGGCUUACUGGACGAUGACUGACGUUGAGGCUCGAAAGCGUGGGGAGCAAAC
RNAcentral lists this ribosomal RNA (206 nucleotides) under uncultured bacterium. RNAcentral describes it as "partial 16S ribosomal RNA". It matches the Rfam family "Bacterial small subunit ribosomal RNA", at positions 568 to 773 of the family's 1533-position model. The record is from RNAcentral.